GGAAGGAGAUGGGAGGGCUGUGCGAGACGCUGAGAGAGUGAGGAAGAGAGGUGAGGCCGGGAACGUUGGAUGCAGAGAGGCUGUGAGAGGGUAGAGAUGGAGGCCGUGAGUCGCAGAGAGGCGGAGAGUGAGGAAAAGAGGGG
This is a long non-coding RNA of Juglans microcarpa x Juglans regia, 143 nucleotides long. RefSeq lists it as uncharacterized. NCBI's taxonomy places the organism in Eukaryota, Viridiplantae, Streptophyta, Magnoliopsida, Fagales, Juglandaceae. The record is from RefSeq and is a predicted model, not a curated record. The transcript has 3 exons.